Molecule: RNA transcript, 4207 nt
Organism: Oryzias latipes (Japanese medaka)
Lineage: Eukaryota; Metazoa; Chordata; Actinopteri; Beloniformes; Adrianichthyidae
Gene name: centrosome and spindle pole-associated protein 1
Source: RefSeq, a predicted model, not a curated record
CAGGUACAAACCGGAACUAGUUUGAGCUGACGUCACAUCGAUGAUAGUUAAGCUGACGAACUGAUCUGCUGCGCUAACAUUUCCUUAACUAAAUACCCCAUUAAAUGUUUGCAACUGUGGCUUCGUUCAAUGGAGCUCGACGACGAACUUGAGAACUUCAUCAGAGAACGGAAGGCGCGGGUGGUUCUAGAUAAGGCCAGCCUGAAGCAGGACCCUCCUUACAUGGAAAUAAAGACAAAUCUGCACAAAGCUUACAGUGGAUCUGCGGUGAAAGAGAACAUCCCACCCAAAUCUAAAGGUCAGGGAAGAGAUGAGAGUGUGGGUCUGCCUUUAGGUGUGGAGUAUGAGAAGAAGAAACACCAGCUGCAACGUGAGCUCCGGAUGGACUACAGGCGCUACAUGGCUCAGCAUCCACUCGGAGACUCGGCAAGUAUUUUUCCCAAACAUCAGUUACUGCUGCAGAGGGAUGCAGCCACGAUGACGGAGGACUCUGGGUCCAGGGCGUCUGAAGAUGAUGGGGGCUUUUCGUCGGUGCUCUCCAGGCAUCAAAACCGGCGUGGAAGACCUAUAGAUCUGGAGGAAGAGGAUUUCUUUCAAGAUGAGCUUCCAGUAGGCAGAAGGCGCCAGGAAACGGCAAAUGAACUAAUGGAUGAGGAGAGCCAGGCCAUUAGAAAUAAUAUUAGGGAAAAGAGAGAGAAUGGAGAAGACCUCAGGAGAGAUGGAAGGAGAAUAAGAACACAGAACAAAAACGAAAAUGAAAAUUUUGCCACCGGUCUUAUAUUUGGAGCAGGAGAUACAGACGAGGCUUUGCAGAGGAGGAAGGAGCGCUACAGGCAGGAGCUGCAGGAGCAGAUAGCUGAACAGCACCGCAACAAGAAGAAGGAAAAAGAGCUGGAGCUUAAAGUAGCUGCAACAGGAGCAAAUGACCCUGAGAAACAGCCUGACCGAAUCAAGCAGUUUGGACUGAGCAGGAGAAAAGCUCCUCUGGAUUCAGAGGCAACCGGAGAACACAGAUCAUCAUCUAGAACUCUAUCAGGUAUCGAAAAGAACACCAGCAGGGAAAGAGAAAUUCCUCUUCCUCUCGAGCCGUCGCAUGCUGCCUUCCAGUCCCCUCUGUUGGAGUACAGCUCUGCCCUUGGCUUAGGGGAAGGUGGCCUUUCCCCCUGUGGUCAGCCUGCAGCCCCCUUCUAUCCAAGCUCCAUGGAUAUUCCUAGGAAUCCUUUGUUUGUUCCGCAUCCUCCACUGAGUGGAGUUUACAGAAACCCAUAUAUAGAACCUUAUCAGUUCUACGGCACCAGAAACCCACCUGACCCAAACAUGGCCUACUAUGGUCAUCCAUCUGCUCCCAGCGCGGGGUUUCCCGUGACCUGUUGGAAUGUACCACCAGCGACGGCUGUGCCCAACCAGUUCAGCAACCACAGUCAGCACACCGAGCCCCCAACGACUUCCAGCAGGCCCACCAACGACACUGUGGUUGAUUCACCAGCUGGGAGCUUCCCUUUGGUGAGAUCGACCAAGGAUAGAACACUGAACUACGGAGAGGCCCUCAAACAGCAGGAAGCUUCCACCAGAGGGAGCAUCGAUCUUUACAGCAAGAUUCAAGAGCAACAGCAGAGGAAGCGUGUAGAGCGGGAGGAGGAUGAGCGCUUCGAGGCACGGCUGGAGGUGGAGAUGAGGACCUAUCAGCCCUGGGGCAAAGGUGGAGGAGGAGCUCCACUGAGGGACAGCUCUGGCAAUCUCAUCGCUGAUCUCCAUCAAAUGCACAAGCUGAAUGAGGAGGCUUACAUCAACCCAGAGCAGUGGCAGAGGAGAGCUACUGCUGGCAGGACGGUCCACCAAACGGGACAGUCUGAUCCCAACGAGAGAGUCUCUGGUUUCACUCGCAUCCAAACGCCCCAGUUUGCUAGAGGCAAUGUUUUUACCAACCAGCCCACUGAGCAGCAGCUGAAGGAGCAGGACCAGUACAAAGCGUUCCUCAAGCAGCAGAUCGAGGAGAAAAUGCGUCAAAAAGCAGAGGAGAGGGAACGAAUCCGACUGGAGGAGGAAAAAGAGGAGAAGAGACUGGCAGAGCAGAGGGCGCGCAUCCUGAGAGAGUACGAGGAAGAGCAGGAGAAGAAGAAACGAAAGGAAAUGGAGCAAAAGGCCAAAAACGAAGAGCUGAUUCAGUUGGCUGAGCAGAGGAAGAGGGAGGCUGAGCAGAAAAGAAGGGAGAUGGAGGAGAAGGAGAAUGCAGCACUGAGGAGGCAUUAUGAAAGGGAGAGGCAGGCACGAGAGGAGGAGGCUGUGUGUCUUCAGGUCCACGAGGAGCCUUUGCCUCCAAUUCCAGCCCUGCAGAGGAAACAAGGGCAGCUCCAGCACCCCCCCAGACCCCCCACUUAUGACAGCCAGCACGCCAGAGCUCCCUUGACUCAGGGGUCUCAGUCCGGUCUCCAGUCCCCUCCUGUCCCUGCUUGUCGGAACCAGCUCAGAGCUGCAGGAGCCUACAGAGAUGUGUUCAGCGAGUUGUCAGCUUUACGCCACCAGCUUCGCAGCGAGCAAAAGAGACUUGAGUGUCGUCUGCGGCAGGACGACUGGGAGGAGCUAGAGUCUCCGAUUAGCGUCAGAUCUCAGGAGCGUCCAGCAGUAGACGUCUUUGACAUGGCAAGACUGCGACUGCAGGCUCCAGUUCGGAGGCCGAGCUCCAGAAACGUGGAUCCCCGAAACCUCCGUAACCACGAGUCCGCUCGGCUGGAAUGUGAAGAUGGAGAGUCGAGACUUGGGUUUUGUAAGGAUGCUAAAAGUGUGACCAACCAGAGGAUCAGGGACGACAGAGACUCGGAUCACCAGUUCAGUGACCAAAGAUCUACAGUUCUGGAUGAUUACUUAGACCUCUCUCCGCCUCCCCAAACUAAUCAUCUGAGAGGCAGCAGCAGCAGGGGAUCUGACAGGGACUCCCAGCUGCGGUCAGAAAGUGCGUUUAUGGGAUCCUUAGAUGACGUCUCUCCAGAACCGCACACUCCAAAGCUCGACGAGGUCCAUCAGCUGUCAGCCAGAGAGAGAAGGAGGCUGUCCAAACAGUCCCAGCAUGCACCGGAACGAGCCGUCUCCAGGCAUCUCAGCGGCCGUCGGAAUGACUGCUCUUCCCACUCAGGCUACAGGCCACAGCGGGAAGCAGAGGAAGGUGGCGAGUGGAGGAUCCGGAACAUGACAAGACGUCUGACGGCCUUUAAUCGCCCUGGAAAUGCUGAUGCUCCAAGUUCAGCAGAAACUCAGAUCUCUGGACGCAGCCUGGAUCUUCAGACACGCUGAAACGUCUGGACUGGCCUCAGAAGAGAGACUCUGUCCUCCUGCACCCUGGAGGAGCUUCACACAAGUCUGUCCUUUUCUACUGGACAUGAUGAAGGAUGUCCAGAUGACUGAACAGCUUCAGCUGAGGUGAUCAGGGAGGUACUUGGUGUUUCAUCUGGAAUGAGGAGAGUAGACAAGAAGACCUGGUGGAGGAAUGAGGAAAAAAUUUGCUAAGAAAAAAUGGAACGCUGAGAACAGAAGACAGGAGAUGCAGCAUGAGGUGAAGGUGAAGGUGGCAAAAACCACGCAAAGGGCGUAUGAGGACUUGUAUGACAGAUUGGACACAAAGGAGGGAGAGGUGGAUGUGUACAGGGAGGGAAAGAUGUUCAGCUGGUUACGAGGAUUAAGAACAGGGAUGGAAAUGUGUUGACAGGUUCCACAAGUGGAAGGGGAACAUGGAAGACCUGAGGAAUGAGGGAGAUGUCGGAGAACACAGAGUAGAAAAAGUGGCUGUAGUAGAGCAGGAAGUAGUAAAGAUCAGUAGUGAGGAAGGCAAUGAGGAAGAUGACAGCAUACCCAUGAAGGUAUGGAGGAAUUUAAGGGAUAGGGGUAGAGUUUCUGAACCAUUAGGAUGGUUUGGACACAUUGAGUAGAGAAAGGACUUUGAUGAAGACUAAAUGGAGGUUCAUAGAUGUAGAAAAGACUGGAUGGAGGCACAUUGGGUUUUGAUUGGCUAUUGAUCUUUCAAUCAAUGUCUUCCAAGUUGUGUCUCCUGUACAGAAUAUGUUCAGUUUGACAAAUUUCCAUAAAUCUUUGAUAAGAUUUUUGUUUUCAGUCUUUAAAGCUGGACUUAUCUUUUUAUGACAGUUUGAACUUUAAAAGUUGGAGAGAGAGAGAGAAGUGUAAAAAUGUUCAUGUCUGAAUAAAGUGUCUAAGCCGG